GGAUUGUGGCUCAGUGGUACAGCACUUGCCUAGCAUGCAUUAGGCACUGGGUUCGAUCCUCAGCACCA
Molecule: transfer RNA, 68 nt
Filed under: Marmota monax (woodchuck)
Lineage: Eukaryota; Metazoa; Chordata; Mammalia; Rodentia; Sciuridae
Description: tRNA.Ala
Rfam family: tRNA (bases 5-65)
About the family: Transfer RNA (tRNA) molecules are approximately 80 nucleotides in length. Their secondary structure includes four short double-helical elements and three loops (D, anti-codon, and T loops).
Source: RNAcentral